This 125-nucleotide transfer RNA is filed under the name Microcaldota archaeon. RNAcentral's name for it is "tRNA-Lys". It matches the Rfam family "tRNA". From Rfam's summary of the family: Transfer RNA (tRNA) molecules are approximately 80 nucleotides in length. Their secondary structure includes four short double-helical elements and three loops (D, anti-codon, and T loops). Lineage: Archaea; Nanobdellati; Microcaldota. The record is from RNAcentral.
GGGCCCGUAGCUCAGCUUGGUAGAGCAACGGACUUUUACCCUUUAGGGACAGGUGCCUGUUUUGGGCCGCCUUUUCCUAAAAGGCGGAAAUCCGCAGGUCGAGGGUUCGAAUCCCUCCGGGCCCG